GCUCAAAUUUGAAAUCUAGCACCUUCGGUGUUUGAGUUGUAAUUUGAAGAUGGUAACCUUGGGUUUGGCUCUUGUCUAUGUUCCUUGGAACAGGACGUCAUAGAGGGUGAGAAUCCCGUCUGAUGAGAUGCCCAUUCCUAUGUAAGGUGCUAUCGAAGAGUCGAGUUGUUUGGGAAUGCAGCUCUAAGUGGGUGGUAAAUUCCAUCUAAAGCUAAAUAUUGGCGAGAGACCGAUAGCGAACAAGUACAGUGAUGGAAAGAUGAAAAGAACUUUGAAAAGAGAGUGAAAAAGUACGUGAAAUUGUUGAAAGGGAAGGGCAUUAGAUCAGACUUGGUGUUUUACGAUUAUCUUCUCUUCUUGAGUUGUGCACUCGUAUUUCACUGGGCCAGCAUCGAUUCGGAUGGCAAGAUAAUGGCAGUUGAAUGUGGCUUCACUUCGGUGGAGUGUUAUAGCUUCUGCUGAUAUUGCCUGUCUGGAUCGAGGGCUGCGUCUUUUGACUAGGAUGCUGGCGUAAUGAUCUAAUGCCGCCCGUC
Molecule: ribosomal RNA, 533 nt
Filed under: Hansenula anomala
Lineage: Eukaryota; Fungi; Ascomycota; Saccharomycetes; Phaffomycetales; Wickerhamomycetaceae
Description: LSU rRNA
Rfam family: Eukaryotic large subunit ribosomal RNA
Source: RNAcentral